GAUGAACGCUGGCGGCGUGCUUAACACAUGCAAGUCGAACGAAGCACCUUGAUUUGAUUCUUCGGAUGAAGAUCUUGGUGACUGAGUGGCGGACGGGUGAGUAACGCGUGGGUAACCUGCCUCAUACAGGGGGAUAACAGUUAGAAAUGACUGCUAAUACCGCAUAAGACCACAGCACCGCAUGGUGCAGGGGUAAAAACUCCGGUGGUAUGAGAUGGACCCGCGUCUGAUUAGGUAGUUGGUGGGGUAACGGCCUACCAAGCCGACGAUCAGUAGCCGACCUGAGAGGGGGCCCGGCCACAUUGGGACUGAGACACGGCCCAAACUCCUACGGGAGGCAGCAGUGGGGAAUAUUGUACAAUGGGGGAAACCCUGAUGCAGCGACGCCGCGUGAGCGAUGAAGUAUUUCGGUAUGUAAAGCUCUAUCAGCAGGGAAGAAAAUGACGGUACCUGACUAAGAAGCACCGGCUAAAUACGUG
RNAcentral lists this ribosomal RNA (479 nucleotides) under uncultured bacterium. RNAcentral describes it as "partial 16S ribosomal RNA". It matches the Rfam family "Bacterial small subunit ribosomal RNA", at positions 28 to 507 of the family's 1533-position model. The record is from RNAcentral.